CUGACGUCACCACGAGCGCGAGAAGUCGAAGGUGUAUCAGUAUGAAGCAGGCGGUGACGGCGCACUGAUUCACUCUCGGAGCUCGGUUCACUAAUGACCGAAUCACCGAGGAACCGACCAAAGAUAACUCACACCCGCACGGAGAAGAAGAACAAGAGGAGGAGAAGAUGAACUGGAGUGGGGCAAAGAGAACUGCAUUCAGAUCAAACGGAUACAAGAGAGGUGGCCGAGUUGUUUGAGGAUCUAAAGAAUUGAGUGUCACAAUUCAACAUGCACAUCAGCGAAACUUUUCCCUCUGACUACACCAGCACGCACGCACAGAAAUUCAUAGUGCAGGUGGUGAUUGCAGGCGCAUUUUAUCCGAACUGCUUCCUCCAGGGAACUGUGGACGAGGAGCUCGCCUCCAAGGAACUCUAUGGAAACGACCCCAGGACCACCAUAGUGGUGUGUAAUCUCCCUCCAUUUGCAUUCCUCUACUAUAAACAGCUCCAGUCUCUCUUCAGACACUGUGGUUAAAUCAAAUCCAUCUCCUUUGACAGCUCCAGGGCCUAUGUAGAGUUCUACCACUCGUCAAUGAGAGGUUCUGGCGUUCUCCCAGAGGUCUCUCUGUCUCUCCUCCUCACGCAGCAGAGACUUCCUCUCCAUGUCAACGUUUAACCUGCUGGAGAGGUGGAGACUUGGGCAGGGGGGUAGUGUAUCUCACACCUCAGAUAUACACGGGUGAAUGUGGAUUUUCAGAAUCAGUCAGUGAGCCCUGUCAGGGUUCUGAGCAGCUCCAUUGAGUUGGAGAAUCUUCCGUCUAACCCUGUCUUUAUCGUCAAUAUCACCGAGGUGUCUGUUCCGCCUCUUUCACUUUCAGUGCACAAAUAAAAAAGAAGCAGUGGCUCCUGUGUGUGCGUGUGUGUGUGUGUGUGUGUGUGUGUGUGUGUGUGCACUAACAGGAGGUCCAGGUGCAGCCUUUGGAUAUUGAUGAAGAUUUACUGCCCCUGCAAGACCUUCCUCAACUGCGUAGUCUGGAGCAAAGGAUGCAACAGAGCCCAGAUUACAAGCAAAAUCUGGUAAACUGGUUGGCGCUUAUUGACGGGGUGUAUGUGCGUGACUGCACCUGGCGCAUAUUGAAGAGGGUGAUUGCUAACUCCCUGGCAAAGAAUCUCAAUUGGAGGGGAGUCAAUGGAAAGACUUCACUGUCCGCUCUCCAACUCGGAGAGGUCGUGAUUGCGUGUCGGCCUUGGAGAUGAGAAUCACGCCAACUCGGAACGAUCCCCUCUCUUUGUGCAGUUCAUCGACUGUGUGUGGCAGAUGAUGAGACAGGUCAGCUACUGAUGCUUUACACCACAACACUGUUGAAUUCUCCAAUCUGAUUGGUCAGAAGGCGUUGGAGACAUUUCUGGAACAGCAAGAUUCUGAUUCCAGCUGCAAGGGAAAUUACAGCUUUAUAGUGAUGUGCUCGUUCUCGUUCCUAUAGUAACAGCUCAUUGACAGGGUCUAGUAUGGCGUACGCAAUACAUAUUCUAAGCUUAAUCGUAAACAUAUUAUAAACAUGUCACUUAAAGAAAAAGACGUAUGAUCAUUGUGAUCUAGUUAAGAUUUAUAAGUUAUCUAUUUAUGGAAGUUUUAUGGAAGUAGUCUCCAGUGUCACGGCAGAGAGGACAUUGCACUUUCCAGUUUCUCAGUAACAUUGCAAGUCUUAUUAAUUUCAAGAGUUAGGGGGAAAAAAGAGAGGCUUGUGAGGGAACUAUUGUUUUAUUUUAAUGUUAUAAAGUAAGAGAUCAUAAUGAGAACUAACUCUCUUUUCCAGGACAUUCCAAAUUGUUCUUUGGCUAUGCCCCAUGUUUGUGCAAUGGUUCAGACCGGUUUUUCCUCUUUUCGCAGCUUCAAAAUGGCUUGCUUUUCUCCCAUAGACAGCUCUCUGGUCUUCAUGUCGGUUUAUUCUUUUUAACAACAAAUGCUGUCUCCACAGGUGAAACCCAGGGCUCAAACCAAGAGAAGACAUUCAGAGCUAUUCAUUGUUUAAAGUCCAUUUAACGAGCUGCCUGUUUGGUACAUUCCUCUACAGCAGUGAGCAGGAGAGAAUGGAAAAGGAAGUACAGGGUAAAACAGUCACUGUGGUCCUACGUUAACAGUCAGCCGGAGGACUUCACUAACCCGUUCUAUGUGGACUGUAAAAACCAGGUGCUGUAUCCACUGGCCAGUCUCACACAUCUGGAGCUCUGGGUGGGUUAUUAUGUGCGUUGGAACCCACGCAUGAGACCACAGAUGCCGCUCCAUCAGAAUCUGAGAGAGUUAUUGUUUUUGCGUGAAGAACGUGGAGGAGCUCCAGAGAGAGGCCACGUCAUCCUGCUCCAUCUCCUCAUCCUCAGAGCAUACUUCUCCCUCCUCACAUAGUGGUUUGGCAUGCUGUGCAUCCUGAGAUGCUUUUCUGCUCACCAUGUAUGUAAAGAGAGCUUAUUUGAUGUUACCAUGGCCGUCCUAUUAACUUGACCCAGUCUGGCCAUUCUCCUUUCGUCAACAAGGUGUUUCCACCCCGAGAACUGCCACUUACCGGAUGUUUUUCACACAAGUGUGUGUGUGGAAAUCCUAGGAGAGCCGAAGUUUCUGGAAUACUCAAACCAGACCAUUUAGAAUCUACAACCAUGCCACGGAUAAAAUCACUGGAUUACAUUCUGGUGUUUGAUGUGAAUAUUGACUGAAGCUCUUCAUCUGAUCCUGCUUGAUGUUGUACACUGUGGUGUUGCCAUAUGAUUGGCUGAUUGGAUAAUUGUAUGAAUGAGCACAUGUACAAGUGAUCAGUGAGCACAUCUAUCUACCAUAGAGGUAUUUUGGGGCAAUACUUGACAAUGUACCUGACUUUGUUAGAUUUGUGGCCAAGUUGAAGAAGCUUUUGACAUCCCAAUGGAAAAUAAUAAAUAAAACAAUCCAGGACAAAUUCACUUUCAGUAUUUUAUUUUUACAUUGUUUUUUUCCCCCUUAAUGUUAAUCUCUUUCUACAGAACCCGUCCAAACUUCAUAUGUCAAUGUAGUAAGCAAGAUAAACUGUCUACAGAUAAAGAAUCUAAGCAU
Ictalurus punctatus (channel catfish) is the source of this 3060-nucleotide long non-coding RNA. RefSeq lists it as uncharacterized. The transcript is spliced from 14 exons. The record is from RefSeq and is a predicted model, not a curated record. Lineage: Eukaryota; Metazoa; Chordata; Actinopteri; Siluriformes; Ictaluridae.